RNAcentral lists this long non-coding RNA (309 nucleotides) under Malus domestica (apple). RNAcentral's name for it is "long non-coding RNA (MDOM_LNC002148)". Lineage: Eukaryota; Viridiplantae; Streptophyta; Magnoliopsida; Rosales; Rosaceae. The record is from RNAcentral.
GCACAUAUUUCAGAUGGCAGGAGUGCAGGCAUAGGGAGCCAAGGUGUGGUUGAGUGGAUGGGAUCAUUUCUAUGGACACAGACAUCAUCUGUUCCCCCCAUUCCUUGGUUCCAACGGAAGCUUCUUCCAUCAGUGAUGGAUGAUGAAGAAGCUCCAUGGUUUUGGAAAUAUAUCUAAAAUGAAGAAGCUCCAUGGGUUUGGAAAUAUAUCUAAAUAAGCUCUCUUUAGAGCUUUGUGACCCUAUGAUGACGAAGACAAUUUAGAAGAAUUCAAACAGAGCUGAGAAAGUAUGUCUCUGCUUGGAUGAAG